Long non-coding RNA from Sapajus apella (tufted capuchin), 977 nucleotides. RefSeq lists it as uncharacterized. The record is from RefSeq and is a predicted model, not a curated record. NCBI's taxonomy places the organism in Eukaryota, Metazoa, Chordata, Mammalia, Primates, Cebidae. The transcript is spliced from 2 exons.
AUGUCCUAAGCUGGGAGCUGCAAGGGAGAAUUCCUGUCAUUCCUGGCCUCAGCUCUGCAGGGACCCAGGGCGAGGCACGCCUGGGCCCCAGGUGUGGCGUCUCCGUCCCCAUCUGGUUUUAGGCGUGUUACACCUCCACACGCAUUAGGGAUCCAGGUAAGCCCAGCGGCCCGAAGGUCUUUACUGUCUGAUGACACUGCAGUAAGUAACCUUUUUUGCCGAACACUUCAUAAGCACAAUCAGGUACUCCGUGGGUCACAGCCUAGCGGACAAUUUAAGUAUAAAUGAUAUACACCAAGAUAACAACCUCGAUAGCUGUAUUUACGGUAUCCUCCCCUCAGGUAUUACAUUUUGGUUGAGUAUGGAAAAUAUCUGUAUGAUUUCACACGCAGUAUUUGACUGAGACAGGUGGGGCCACCUGAGGCCAAUUCAAGGCCUUCUGGGAACUGUAGUUCUCUUUGGUUAACUAUUCCAGAGCUUUCUGGGAAUUGUAGUUUUCCCUGCACCUUAAUCCAAACUAACGUUCCUUUUUUUUUGUUUUUUUAAAGACACGAACCAUUUACCCCAAACAAAAUAUAAUUAAACACAGACUCCUGCUUACAAUUUCCGUGGGCAUGUUGGCCACAUGUAGCUCAUCCCUAGCACCGAUCUUAAGCCCCUCAAAUAGAGUUCAUGUGCAUCCUCACGACUGCCAAUCACUUGUACUGUGAGGUACCUGGGGAAGUGCUGAGAUUGCAGAACUGGUGGAGGGCUGGGGGCGGGGGCUUGGAGGGAGUCCCUGGCCAGAGGAGCUCACUUGUCACACUCCUCUCCCAUCACACUGGGCUCCUUCAGGCAAGGGACAUGCAUGAGUUGUGACCUCUAGGUAUUGAGAAUGCAGCAUCAUAGAGGCUGUCUAGAGCAGGAUAGUCAUAUACACGCAGUUGCCAGAGUGUAGAAAGAAAGAAAAAGUUUUUUUUUUGUUUUUUAUUUUGUGG